This 689-nucleotide ribosomal RNA is filed under the name uncultured bacterium. Its description in RNAcentral is "bacterial SSU rRNA". It matches the Rfam family "Bacterial small subunit ribosomal RNA", at positions 8 to 694 of the family's 1533-position model. The record is from RNAcentral.
AGAGUUUGAUCCUGGCUCAGAUUGAACGCUGGCGGCAUGCCUUACACAUGCAAGUCGAACGGCAGCGGACCUUCGGGUGCCGGCGAGUGGCGAACGGGUGAGUAAUAUAUCGGAACGUGCCUUUCAGUGGGGGAUAACGUAGCGAAAGUUACGCUAAUACCGCAUAUUCUCUGAGGAGGAAAGCAGGGGACCUUCGGGCCUUGCGCUGAUAGAGCGGCCGAUAUCAGAUUAGCUAGUUGGUGAGGUAAAGGCUCACCAAGGCGACGAUCUGUAGCGGGUCUGAGAGGAUGAUCCGCCACACUGGAACUGAGACACGGUCCAGACUCCUACGGGAGGCAGCAGUGGGGAAUUUUGGACAAUGGGGGCAACCCUGAUCCAGCCAUGCCGCGUGAGUGAAGAAGGCCUUCGGGUUGUAAAGCUCUUUCGGCCGGGAAGAAAUCGCACGGGCUAAUACCCUGUGUGGAUGACGGUACCGGAAUAAGAAGCACCGGCUAACUACGUGCUAGCAGCCGCGGUAAUACGUAGGGUGCGAGCGUUAAUCGGAAUUACUGGGCGUAAAGCGUGCGCAGGCGGUUUAGUAAGACAGGCGUGAAAUCCCCGGGCUCAACCUGGGAACUGCGCUUGUGACUGCUAAGCUAGAGUACGGCAGAGGGGGGUGGAAUUCCACGUGUAGCGGUGAAAUGCGUAGA